Molecule: transfer RNA, 73 nt
Filed under: Patagioenas fasciata monilis
Lineage: Eukaryota; Metazoa; Chordata; Aves; Columbiformes; Columbidae
Rfam family: tRNA
About the family: Transfer RNA (tRNA) molecules are approximately 80 nucleotides in length. Their secondary structure includes four short double-helical elements and three loops (D, anti-codon, and T loops).
Source: Rfam by way of RNAcentral
CUUUCUGUAGUGUAGUGGUUAUCACAUUUGCCUGAUACGCAGAAGGUCCCUGGUUUGAAACCAGGCAUAAAUG